RNAcentral lists this long non-coding RNA (374 nucleotides) under Ananas comosus (pineapple). RNAcentral's name for it is "long non-coding RNA (ACOM_LNC006443)". The record is from RNAcentral. Lineage: Eukaryota; Viridiplantae; Streptophyta; Magnoliopsida; Poales; Bromeliaceae.
GUUGUGGAGGAGGAAUUCUACACUGUCACACUUGCACCACGUCAUCAAUAACAAGCCAAUCACAUUCCUUCUUUUCAAACAAAAGUACAAUAAAAAUAUUUUUUUACAAUUAUGAUGGGACAUAUAUUCUUAAAAGGAUUAAUUUGAUUGGUUUGUUACGCCACGUCACUAAUAUACCCGUUGCAUUCUAGAAUUUUUCGUUGUGGAGGUGGCCUGUUACGGGGACCGAGGUCAGCCUUUUAUAGAGCGGAAGGGGUGAGCGACAGGGAACCGUUUCUUUCUCUUUCCUUUCUCUCUCUCUCUCUCUCUCUCUCUCCUCUCUCCUCUCAGCCCUCUCUCCCCCCACCCCCUCCCUUUCUUACAUUUUCUUCUUU